AACCUGCAAGGCGGAGCGAGGAGGAGAGAGCUUGGACUCUGAGCCAGAGGCUGCGGGCCUGGGGUUCCAGGGGGCUGGCAGCGUGGGCGGCGGGGAGGCCGGGGGCCUGGACACCAGUGUCCUGAGGAAAUGGGGUCCGGGAGUUGGGGGAAGGGACAAGGCUGGGAGUGCAGACUAGGACAUUACAGAAGUAGAGGCUGAGACUCUGUGGUCCUAGAGAAAUAGAGGCUGGACCUAGGGGAGGGGGUUAUGGGGUACUGAGAACAGAACUGAGAGCCUGGACCACGGGUUCUGUACUCACCUGCGGGGCAAGUGACCAGGUGCCCCCUGGAGGUGACACUCCGGCAGUCCAGGCCAAUGUUCCUUAUUGCCGCAGGAUCUAGGGAAGGAGUGACCGAGGUAACUGUGAAACCGAGCUGCUCCUCCCCCAAUCUCAUGCUGCCCAGGCCCUGGUGGUUUGGAGAUGGGCAGGGGGCUCAAGGAAACCGCCCCUGGGGAAGGCCCAGGGGGUCGGGAGCUCAUCACCUCUCAAGAUUCUGCUUUGAGAAUAAUCGACAAUUGACGUGUGCAAACUACGGCCCAUGGGCCAGAUCUAGCCCACCAUCUUUUUUUUUUUUUUUUGGCCACACUGAGCAUCAUGCGGGAUCUUAGUUCCCCAGCCAGGGAUCGAACACCCAUCCCCCUGCAAUGGAAGCACGGAGUCUUAACCGCUGGACCACCAGGGAAGUCCCGCCUACCAUCUCUUUUUGUAUGACUCAUGAGCUAAGAAUGGUUUUCACAUUGUUUGGGUUUGUUUUGUUUCCAAUAUGGAUGGAUUUUUUAAAAAUUGUGAUAAAACACCCGUAACAUAAAAUGUACCAUUUUAACCAUUUUCAAGUGUAAAUUCAGCAGCAUUGAGGCAGUGUGACCACCGAGGCAGACACUGGAAUGCUGUGGCCACAAGCCAAGGAAUGCCAGAAGCCACCAGAAGCUGGAAGAAGCAAAGAACCAACUUUUCCCUAGUCUUUAGAGGGAGUAUGGCUUGAUUUCAGCCAUACAGUGUUGUGUAAUCAUCAGCCCUGUCCAUUUCCAGAACUUUCUUUUUACCAUCCUAAACUGAAACCUUACCUAUUAAACACUAAGUCGCACUUCCUCUUGAA
Long non-coding RNA from Aethalodelphis obliquidens (Pacific white-sided dolphin), 1139 nucleotides. RefSeq lists it as uncharacterized. Lineage: Eukaryota; Metazoa; Chordata; Mammalia; Artiodactyla; Delphinidae. The record is from RefSeq and is a predicted model, not a curated record. The transcript is spliced from 2 exons.